Molecule: small nucleolar RNA, 99 nt
Filed under: Hucho hucho (huchen)
Lineage: Eukaryota; Metazoa; Chordata; Actinopteri; Salmoniformes; Salmonidae
Description: Small nucleolar RNA SNORD21 (ENSHHUG00000048077.1)
Source: RNAcentral
UCUUUAUGAUGAUACGAAGUAUGCUGAGCAAAAUGUAGUUGGUCCUUCAUUUGCAACAGCUGAUGUCCAUUGUCCUUUCAAGACGGGGCUGAGAGAAGC